Long non-coding RNA from Heterocephalus glaber (naked mole-rat), 478 nucleotides. The record is from Ensembl. Lineage: Eukaryota; Metazoa; Chordata; Mammalia; Rodentia; Bathyergidae.
AUUUCUUCAUCCUUCUGUCUCAUCUGUCUCCUCCUUUCUCAGAGGAAAAAAUGUGAGGAAAGAAAAGUAAAACAGAAAAAGACAAAGUUAAUGGAAAACUAUGUAAAACAAUGUAAGGGGACGGCAGUGUUGGGUCAGCAUUGGAAGAUCCACUCCCAAAAGUCACCAUUUUAACAGAGGAAAGGAAAAAGCCAUAUGAUCCUGUCAGUAGUUGCAGAAAAAGUAUUGGACUAAAUUCUACACCUGUUCAUGGUAAAAGCUAUCAGGAGACGAGAAGUAGAACAGAAACUUCUCAACAAAUAAAAGACAUGUACUCCAUACUUCCAGCAAAAAUGCCUUAUAUGAAUGGAGAAGAUACAAUACUUUCUCCCUAAGAUAAAUGCAAAUCACUAAGCUAAAAACAAGCCCAGCUCAGGAAAGAUAAUCAAUGCAAGAAGAAAACAAAGCAGAUCUUUCACAUGGCAGAAAUAAAGGGUGC